CCUGGUAUCGUCUAGUGGUUAGGACACCAGGUUCUGAUCCUGGUGACCCCGGUUCAAACCCGGGUACCAGGU
Molecule: transfer RNA, 72 nt
Filed under: Melampsora larici-populina 98AG31
Lineage: Eukaryota; Fungi; Basidiomycota; Pucciniomycetes; Pucciniales; Melampsoraceae
Description: tRNA-Gln (CTG) (tRNA-Gln-CTG-1-1)
Rfam family: tRNA
About the family: Transfer RNA (tRNA) molecules are approximately 80 nucleotides in length. Their secondary structure includes four short double-helical elements and three loops (D, anti-codon, and T loops).
Source: RNAcentral